GUCCACGCCGUAAACGAUGGGCACUAGGUGUUCGGGGUAUUGACCCCCUGAGUGCCGCAGCUAACGCAUUAAGUGCCCCCGCCUGGGGGACUACGGCCGCAAGGUUAAAACUCAAAGGAAUUGACGGGGGCCCGCACAAGCGGUGGAGCAUGUGGUUCAAUUCGACGCAACGCGAAGACCUUACCUGGGCUAGACAACGUCGGACAGCUCUAGAAGUACAGUCUUCCCGCAAGGGACCGGCGGUUCAGGUGCUGCAUGGCUGUCGU
Molecule: ribosomal RNA, 266 nt
Filed under: uncultured bacterium
Lineage: Bacteria
Description: partial 16S ribosomal RNA
Rfam family: Bacterial small subunit ribosomal RNA
Source: RNAcentral